RNAcentral lists this ribosomal RNA (496 nucleotides) under uncultured bacterium. Its description in RNAcentral is "partial 16S ribosomal RNA". It matches the Rfam family "Bacterial small subunit ribosomal RNA", at positions 28 to 507 of the family's 1533-position model. The record is from RNAcentral.
GACGAACGCUGGCGGCGUGCCUAAUACAUGCCAGUUGAGCGCUGAAGGUUGUUACUUGUACCAACUGGAUGAGCAGCGAACGGGUGAGUAACGCGUGGGGAAUCUGCCUUUGAGCGGGGACAACAUUUGGAAACGAAUGCUAAUACCGCAUAAAAACUUUAAACACAAGUUUUAAGUUUGAAAGAUGCAAUUGCAUCACUCACAGAUGAUCCCGCGUUGUAUUAGCUAGUUGGUGAGGUAAAGGCUCACCAAGGCGAUGAUACAUAGCCGACCUGAGAGGGUGAUCGGCCACAUUGGGACUGAGACACGGCCCAAACGACUACGGGAGGCAGCAGUAGGGAAUCUUCGGCAAUGGACGAAAGUCUGACCGAGCAACGCCGCGUGAGGGAAGAAGGGUGUCGGAUCGUAAAACUCUGUUGGUAGAGAAGAACGUUGGUGAGAGUGGAAAGCUCAUCAAGUGACGGUAACUACCCAGAAAGGGACGGCUAACUACGUG